UAAGAUUGAUCCUUGAUCUUUAAUUGGAAAAAUCGUAUGUUAUCUGGUUAAGAAUGCCCAGAUCAAAAUCCGUAGUGGAUAAGGACCAAGGAUGAUUGUUAGGCCGAAAGUCGCGGAAGGAGUAGCGAGUAGGAGCUGUGCCCUCAAUUGGGCUGUGUGUGAAAUGCUGGACACGUAAUGACCACAACAAUGAUUCUACGUAGUUUUGGUAGGUGUGAAGGCAGUUAUAGCAAGUGUG
This 238-nucleotide unclassified non-coding RNA is filed under the name Hevea brasiliensis (rubber tree). The record is from RNAcentral. Lineage: Eukaryota; Viridiplantae; Streptophyta; Magnoliopsida; Malpighiales; Euphorbiaceae.